CAUGUAGGCGGGCUUUUAAGUCCGACGUGAAAAUGCGGGGCUUAACCCCGUAUGGCGUUGGAUACUGGAAGUCUUGAGUGCAGGAGAGGAAAGGGGAAUUCCCAGUGUAGCGGUGAAAUGCGUAGAUAUUGGGAGGAACACCAGUGGCGAAGGCGCCUUUCUGGACUGUGUCUGACGCUCAGAUGCGAAAGCUAGGGUAGGCAAACG
Molecule: ribosomal RNA, 207 nt
Filed under: uncultured bacterium
Lineage: Bacteria
Description: partial 16S ribosomal RNA
Rfam family: Bacterial small subunit ribosomal RNA
Source: RNAcentral